Pleuronectes platessa (European plaice) is the source of this 680-nucleotide long non-coding RNA. RefSeq lists it as uncharacterized. NCBI's taxonomy places the organism in Eukaryota, Metazoa, Chordata, Actinopteri, Pleuronectiformes, Pleuronectidae. The record is from RefSeq and is a predicted model, not a curated record. The transcript has 5 exons.
GGACCGAACAGUUUGUUUUGCUUGAUGAAGAGCAGGAAGGGCAGCCUGGAGAGAAAGAGAAGCCGGGUUGAGCCCACUACCAUCAUCCACGUACCACGAGGAAGAUGAGGGAGAGAAAUGAUCCUACCAUUAAAGAGACUGUGAAAAGAACGUUGAAAACAUCACCACUCUACAGGAAGACACAGUCCAGUAAUGGGUGUCAGAAGUUCAGUAGUGAACGACAGAAACAAACAAUCCAAAUUACCUGCAGAAAGCCCUUGAUGGACGCUUCAGCUGCAUCGUCAGACUGGCAGUACUGAUGCAUUUACUGAGACGGGACGUGAGGGCCUACUCUGCGUGCUCAGAGUUCAAGCCCAGCAGGCUGCAGCGGUCCUGACAUAUUCCGGAACAGCAGCACAGUCUUUGGAUGACUCCUCUGAAGAUGAAAACAUGGCGAGUUCUUCUCAAGAGAAGCAGUACAGGUGUGCCUCAGCUCCACGGUCCCUCCUGCAACCUCCGCUCCUGAUGCUAACCUCAUGUCUCCAUCGCACCAAGCAGCAGACCUGGAUUGACAGACCUUUCUCCAGAGCUGCCCCCUCCCUCUGAAACCCCCCUCUCCAAAACACUAUUUGUGUAGUUUUUAAAGUAUUUUUUGCAUGAGAAUUGUUGAUCAUAUCAUUUCCAGCAGAUGCCUUAAUGUA